Molecule: ribosomal RNA, 640 nt
Filed under: uncultured crenarchaeote
Lineage: Archaea; Thermoproteati; Thermoproteota
Description: bacterial SSU rRNA
Rfam family: Archaeal small subunit ribosomal RNA
Source: RNAcentral
GGUCAUCACUUCUGGAAUGGGUAAUGACUUAAACCUAUAUGGCCCCUGGAUUGGACUGCGGCCGAUCAGGCUGUUGGUGAGGUAAUGGCCCACCAAACCUGUAACCGGUACGGGCUCUGAGAGGAGGAGCCCGGAGAUGGGCACUGAGACAAGGGCCCAGGCCCUAUGGGGCGCAGCAGGCGCGAAACCUCUGCAAUAGGCGAAAGCUUGACAGGGUUACUCUGAGUGAUUUCCGUUAAGGAGAUCUUUUGGCACCUCUAAAAAUGGUGCAGAAUAAGGGGUGGGCAAGUCUGGUGUCAGCCGCCGCGGUAAUACCAGCACCCCGAGUGGUCGGGACGUUUAUUGGGCCUAAAGCAUCCGUAGCCGGUUCUACAAGUCUUCCGUUAAAUCCACCUGCUUAACAGAUGGGCUGCGGAAGAUACUAUAGAGCUAGGAGGCGGGAGAGGCAAGCGGUACUCGAUGGGUAGGGGUAAAAUCCGUUGAUCCAUUGAAGACCACCAGUGGCGAAGGCGGCUUGCCAGAACACGUCCGACGGUGAGGGAUGAAAGCUGGGGGAGCAAACCGGAUUAGAUACCCGGGUAGUCCCAGCUGUAAACUAUGCAAACUCAGUGAUGCAUUGGCUUGUGGCCAAUGCAGUGCU